This 2908-nucleotide ribosomal RNA is filed under the name Candidatus Arthromitus sp. SFB-1. Its description in RNAcentral is "bacterial LSU rRNA". It matches the Rfam family "Bacterial large subunit ribosomal RNA". The record is from RNAcentral. Lineage: Bacteria; Bacillati; Bacillota; Clostridia; Eubacteriales; Clostridiaceae. RNAcentral also lists the same sequence under 1 other name.
AAAAUAGGUCAAGCUACUAAGAGCGCACAGAGGAUGACUUGGCAUCAGGAGCUGAUGAAGGACGUGAUAAGCUGCGAUAAGCUACGGGUAGACGCAAAUAGUCAUGGAUCCGUAGAUUUCCGAAUGGGGGAACCCACAUAGUGAGAGACUAUGUAUCUAGUAAUGAAUUAAUAGUUAUUAGAAGGUAGACGCAGGGAACUGAAACAUCUAAGUACCUGUAGGAAGAGAAAGAAAUAUCGAUUCCCUAAGUAGUGGCGAGCGAAAGGGGAAGAGCCCAAACCCAAGGAAACUUGGGGGUUGAGGGGGUCUAUAAUUGAGAAAGUAGGUUAGAUGAAUAUAGAUGGAAAUCUAAGCCGAAGAGUGUAAUAGCCACGUAAUUUAAAACUGAAAUUGAGAGAGACUUACCCAGAGUACCACGAGACACGAGGAACCUUGUGGGAAGCAGGGUGGACCACCACCCAAGGCUAAAUACUACCUGAUGACCGAUAGAGGAGUAGUACCGUGAGGGAAAGGUGAAAAGAACCCCGGGAGGGGAGUGAAAUAGAACCUGAAACUGUGUGCUUACAACCGCUCAGAGCACGUAAUAUGUGUGAUGAGGUGCUUUUUGUAGAACGAGCCAACGAGUUACGAUGUGUAGCGAGAUUAAGGUCUUAAGGACUGUAGUCGAAGAGAAAUCGAGUGUUAAUAGCGCGAAUAGUUGCAUGUUGUAGACCCGAAACCGGGUGACCUAUCCAUGAUCAGGUUGAAGCGAAGGUAAAACUUCGUGGAGGACCGAACCACGUUGGUGUUGAAAAACCAUGGGAUGAAUUGUGGAUAGCGGAGAAAUUCCAAUCGAACUCGGAGAUAGCUGGUUCUCCCCGAAAUAGCUUUAGGGCUAGCGUUAAUACAUAGAAUAUAGGAGGUAGAGCACUAAAUGGGCUAGGGGCCGUAAGGUUACCGAACCUUAUUAAACUCCGAAUGCCUAUAUUUGUUUAUUAGCAGUCAGUCUAAGAGUGAUAAGAUUCUUGGACAAAAGGGAAAAAGCCCAGAUCACCAGCUAAGGUCCCAAAGUAUGAGUUAAGUGGUAAAGGAUGUGGAGAUUCUAAGACAACUAGGAUGUUGGCUUAGAAGCAGCCAUUCAUUUAAAGAGUGCGUAAUAGCUCACUAGUCGAGAGUUUCUGCGCCGAAGAUAAACGGGGCUAAAACUCAUCACCGAAGCUGUGGAAUGGAAACAUUGGUAGGGGAGCGUUGUAUAAGAGUUGAAGCUAAAGCGGGAGCAAUAGUGGAUUUUAUACAAGAGAGAAUGUUGGCAUAAGUAGCGAGAAUUAGGUGAGAAUCCUAAUGGUCGAAAGCCUAAGGUUUCCUGGGGAAGGUUCGUCCGCCCAGGGUAAGUCGGGACCUAAGCUGAGGUCGAAAGGCGUAAGUGAUGGAUAAUCGGUAGAUAUUCCGAUACCACUAAUUAUUGAUUGAUCGAUGGAGGGAAGCAGAAGGAUAGGAUAGCCAACAGAUGGAGGUUGGUCUAAGAGAAGAGAUAGCAUGUAGAGGCAAAUCCAUAUAUGCGAUUAAGUUGAUUCUUUAUGGGGAGACGAAUGAGUUGAAGUAUCUGAUUUCACACUGACGAGAAAAACUUCUAGGUAGAUAAUUAGUGCCCGUACCACAAACCGACACAGGUAGGCGAGGUGAGAAUCCAAAGACCAGCGGAAGAAUUGCAGUUAAGGAACUCGGCAAAUUGACCCCGUAAGUUAGCGAGAAGGGGUGCCAUAGAGAUAUGGUCGCAGAGAAUAGGCCCAAGCAACUGUUUAUCAAAAACACAGGUCUCUGCAAAAGCGAAAGCUUAAGUAUAGGGGCUGACGCCUGCCCGGUGCUGGAAGGUUAAGGGGAGCUGUUAUCGUAAGAGAAGCAGUGAACUUAAGCCCCAGUAAACGGCGGCCGUAACUAUAACGGUCCUAAGGUAGCGAAAUUCCUUGUCAGGUAAGUUCUGACCCGCACGAAUGGCGUAAUGACUUGGGCGCUGUCUCAACUGCAAAUCCGGCGAAAUUGUAGUGCAAGUGAAGAUGCUUGCUACCCGCGAUUGGACGGAAAGACCCCGUAGAGCUUUACUGUAAUUUAGCAUUGAGUUUUGGUAAUAUUUGUACAGGAUAGGUGGGAGACUGGGAAUCUAGAUCGUCAGAUUUAGAGGAGUCGAUGUUGGGAUACCACCCUGAUAUUGCUGAAAUUCUAACUGGGAUCCAUGAACUGGGUACAGGACACUGUUAGAUGGGCAGUUUGACUGGGGCGGUCGCCUCCAAAAGAGUAACGGAGGCGUUCAAAGGUUUCUUCAGAAGGGAUGGAAAUCCUUCGUAGAGCGUAAAGGCAUAAAGAAGCUUGACUGCGACACCUACAAGUGGAGCAGGUACGAAAGUAGGACUUAGUGAUCCGGUGGUACCUCGUGGGAGGGCCAUCGCUCAACGGAUAAAAGCUACCUCGGGGAUAACAGGCUGAUCUCCCCCAAGAGUUCACAUCGACGGGGAGGUUUGGCACCUCGAUGUCGGCUCGUCGCAUCCUGGGGCUGAAGUAGGUCCCAAGGGUUGGGCUGUUCGCCCAUUAAAGCGGCACGCGAGCUGGGUUCAGAACGUCGUGAGACAGUUCGGUCCCUAUCCGUCGCGGGCGCAGGAGAUUUGAGAGGAGCUGUCCUUAGUACGAGAGGACCGGGAUGGACUAACCAAUGGUGAACCAGUUGUUCCGCCAGGAGCACGGCUGGGUAGCUAAGUUAGGAAGGGAUAAACGCUGAAGGCAUCUAAGCGUGAAGCCCACCUUAAGAUAAGAUCUCCCAUAGCGUAAGCUAGUAAGACCCCUUGAAGAACACAAGGUUGAUAGGUAAAAGGUGUAAGUAUGGUAACAUAUUUAGCUGAUUUAUACUAAUAGGUCGAGGGCUUGACCAAAAUUAGCA